AGCGGCAGGCCUAACACAUGCAAGUCGAGGGGUAACAGGAAGUGCUUGCACUUCGCUGACGACCGGCGCACGGGUGAGUACCGCGUAUACAAUCUGCCUCAUACUAGGGGAUAGCCCGAAGAAAUUUGGAUUAAUACCCUAUAGUAUCUUUUUAAGGCAUCUUAUUAAGAUUAAAGGUUACGGUAUGAGAUGAGUAUGCGUUCUAUUAGCUAGUAGGUGUGGUAACGGCACACCUAGGCUACGAUAGAUAGGGGCCCUGAGAGGGGGAUCCCCCACACUGGUACUGAGACACGGACCAGACUCCUACGGGAGGCAGCAGUGAGGAAUAUUGGACAAUGGGCGAAAGCCUGAUCCAGCCAUGCCGCGUGCAGGAUGACUGCCCUAUGGGUUGUAAACUGCUUUUAUAUAGGAAGAAAAACUUUCUCGUGAGAAAGCUUGACGGUACUAUAAGAAUAAGGAUCGGCUAACUCCGUGCCAGCAGCCGCGGUAAUACGGAGGAUCCAAGCGUUAUCCGGAAUCAUUGGGUUUAAAGGGUCCGUAGGUGGACAAAUAAGUCAGAGGUGAAAUCCUGCAGCUCAACUGUAGAACUGCCUUUGAUACUGUUUGUCUUGAGUUAUUAUGAAGUGGUUAGAAUGUGUAGUGUAGCGGUGAAAUGCAUAGAUAUUACACAGAAUACCGAUUGCGAAGGCAGAUCACUAAUAAUUAACUGACACUGAGGGACGAAAGCGUGGGUAGCGAACAGGAUUAGAUACCCUGGUAGUCCACGCCGUAAACGAUGGUCACUAGCUGUUUGGACUUCGGUCUGAGUGGCUAAGCGAAAGUGAUAAGUGACCCACCUGGGGAGUACGUC
RNAcentral lists this ribosomal RNA (850 nucleotides) under uncultured Flavobacteriaceae bacterium. Its description in RNAcentral is "bacterial SSU rRNA". It matches the Rfam family "Bacterial small subunit ribosomal RNA", at positions 38 to 886 of the family's 1533-position model. The record is from RNAcentral. Lineage: Bacteria; Pseudomonadati; Bacteroidota; Flavobacteriia; Flavobacteriales; Flavobacteriaceae.